RNAcentral lists this small RNA (947 nucleotides) under Arabidopsis thaliana (thale cress). RNAcentral describes it as "ATSL269970". Lineage: Eukaryota; Viridiplantae; Streptophyta; Magnoliopsida; Brassicales; Brassicaceae. The record is from RNAcentral.
AUCUCUAUCCCAAGGGAUUGGCCGUUUAGAGCGUUUAUUGACUUUAUCAGUCUGUUCUUAUUGCCUGCAUAGUUAGAUUCCGUGAAUGGGAAUUAGUCUGGGCUAGCUUUCCUUGAGGAUUUCUAUCACGAGAGUGAAUUGAUCUGUUGUUGAACCAGUUGUCUAGGGAUAGCUUGAUUGCGCUUGUUAACCAUUCGAAUAGGCUAGGAUACCCUUUAUUCGAGUACCCCAUCCUUAGGAAUUUCUCGUCUAUCUGAUUUCUCUGUUUUAUCGUUAUCGCUUAAUCGUUCUCAUUGCCUGUUUCUUCAUUUUUGCAAUUACUCGACCAGUAUACUCGACCACACCCAGUGUCUGGCAACAGACUGUGCAGUUGAGUAUAUCUGUUUUAUAUCAUGUCUGUUACUCGACCUGUUACUCGACCACAUCUUACUUUUGGCAUCAGCCUGUUGUGGUCGAGUGAUUUUAAUAAUUCUGUUAUUAUUUCUGUUUUCUAUCAUGUCUGUUAUAUCAUGUGUAUGAUUGAUCACAUCUCAUUUGUUUGCAUCACACCCAUUUGGAUUGACACCUAAAAUACUACAACGACAUGAUUGGUGUUUUAGGAUAAUUGACUAAAAAUAUAUUUUCAAUUUGACGCCGUUGCCAAUUGGGUGUUUGUUUGCUAUAUUUGAGAUUUUAGAAUAUUUAAGAUCAAGUUCUUUUUCAUUUUUUCUGAAAGUUAAUAACUUUGUGUUUUUUUUGUUUGUCUUUUUUUUGAUUCAGGUACUGCGAAUCACCAGCUUCGCCAGUUGGUACUCGUUGUAUGCAAACACGGUCACAAGGAAAUCAGAAUCUCCUGUUCAACGAUAACAUCGACUGUAUUGCACGCCAACUCAGAACACAGAAAGAAACAGACACAAUGGCUGCAGUUGUAGAUGAGCAAGUGCAACCAAACAACAUAGGUGCAGGCG